RNAcentral lists this ribosomal RNA (506 nucleotides) under uncultured bacterium. RNAcentral describes it as "partial 16S ribosomal RNA". It matches the Rfam family "Bacterial small subunit ribosomal RNA", at positions 29 to 523 of the family's 1533-position model. The record is from RNAcentral.
AGUGAACGCUGGCGGUAGGCCUAACACAUGCAAGUCGAACGGCAGCACAGGAGAGCUUGCUCUCUGGGUGGCGAGUGGCGGACGGGUGAGGAAUACAUCGGAAUCUACUCUGUCGUGGGGGAUAACGUAGGGAAACUUACGCUAAUACCGCAUACGACCUACGGGUGAAAGCAGGGGACCUUCGGGCCUUGCGCGAUUGAAUGAGCCGAUGUCGGAUUAGCUAGUUGGCGGGGUAAAGGCCCACCAAGGCGGCGAUCCGUAGCUGGUCUGAGAGGAUGAUCAGCCACAAUGGAACUGAGACACGGUCCAGGCUCCUACGGGAGGCAGCAGUGGGGAAUAUUGGACAAUGGGCGCAAGCCUGAUCCAGCCAUACCGCGUGGGUGAAGAAGGCCUUCGGGUUGUAAAGCCCUUUUGUUGGGAAAGAAAUCCAGCUGGCUAAUACCCGGUUGGGAUGACGGUACCCAAAGAAUAAGCACCGGCUAACUUCGUGCCAGCAGCCGCUGUAA